RNAcentral lists this ribosomal RNA (433 nucleotides) under uncultured bacterium. RNAcentral's name for it is "partial 16S ribosomal RNA". It matches the Rfam family "Bacterial small subunit ribosomal RNA", at positions 29 to 507 of the family's 1533-position model. The record is from RNAcentral.
AACGAACGCUGGCGGCAUGCCUAACACAUGCAAGUCGAACGAGACCUUCGGGUCUAGUGGCGCACGGGUGCGUAACGCGUGGGAACCUGCCCUUAGGUUCGGAAUAACUCCCCGAAAGGGGUGCUAAUACCGGAUAAUGUCUUCGGACCAAAGAUUUAUCGCCUUUGGAUGGGCCCGCGUUGGAUUAGCUAGUUGGUAGGGUAAAAGCCUACCAAGGCGACGAUCCAUAGCUGGUCUGACAGGAUGAUCAGCCACACUGGGACUGAGACACGGCCCAGACUCCUACGGGAGGCAGCAGUGGGGAAUAUUGGACAAUGGGCGAAAGCCUGAUCCAGCAAUGCCGCGUGAGUGAUGAAGGCCUUAGGGUUGUAAAGCUCUUUUACCCGGGAUGAUAAUGACAGUACCGGGAGAAUAAGCGCCGGCUAACUCCGUG